UGCAAUNCAGCUCCGGCCGCCANGCCGCGGGAUUAGUUUGAUUCUGGCUCAGAACGAACGCUGGCGGCGUGGAUAANACAUGCAAGCUCNAACGGGACAGCGUUUGGUAGCAAUACUAAAGUUGUCCANUGGCGCAAGGGUGCGUAACACGUGGGCAAUCUGCCGAGAAGUGGGGGAUAGCUCGCCGAAAGGCGAAUUAAUACCGCAUGUGGAUAGUGAAGGAUUCUUCGCGACUCCNAAGCCGGGGCAACCUGGCGCUUCUUGAUGAGCCCGCGGCCUAUCAGCUAGUUGGUAAGGUAACGGCUUACCAAGGCUAUGACGGGUAGCUGGUCUGAGAGGACGACCAGCCACACUGGAACUGAGACACGGUCCANACACCUACGGGUGGCAGCAGUCGAGAAUUUUUCUCAAUGGGGGAAACCCUGAAGGAGCGACGCCGCGUGAAGGAUGAAGGUCUUCGGAUUGUAAACUUCUGUCAUUAGAGAACAAUUGUCGCCGAGUAACUACCGGCGGCUUGAUAGUAUCUGAANAGGAAGAGACGGCUAACUCUGUGCCAGCAGCCGCGGUAAUACAGAGGUCUCAAGCGUUGUUCGGAUUCAUUGGGCGUAAAGGGUGCGUAGGUGGCGAGGUAAGUUGGAUGUGAAAUCCCGGGGCUCAACCCCGGAACUGCAUUCAAUACUGCCUCGCUGGAGUACUGGAGAGGAGAUUGGAAUUUACGGUGUAGCANUGAAAUGCNUAGAUAUCGUAAGGAAGACCANUGNCNAAGGCNGAUCUCUGGACAGUUACUGACACUGAGGCACGAAGGCCAANAGAGCAAACGGGAUUANAUACCCCGGUAGUCCUGGCAGUAAACGGUNCACGUUUGGUGUGAGCGGAUUCGACCCCGCUUGUGCCGGAGCUAACGCGUUAAACGUGCCNCCUGGGGAGUACGGUCGCAAGAUUAAAACUCAAAGAAAUUGACGGGGGCCCGCACAAGCGGUGGAGUAUGUGGCUUAAUUCGAUGCAACGCGAAGAACCUUACCUAGCCUUGACAUGCAUUUCUAAGUUGGUGAAAGCCAGCGAGUGUAGCAAUACACAACUUGCACAGGUGCUGCAUGGCUGUCGUCAGCUCGUGUCGUGAGAUGUUGGGUUAAGUCCCGCAACGAGCGCAACCCCUGUGAACUGUUGCCACCGGCCCGUGAGGGCCGAGCACUCUGUUCAGACUGCCCUGUGAAACGGGGAGGAAGGUGGGGAUGACGUCAAGUCAGGAUGGCCCUUANGGCUAGGGCUGCACACGUACUACAAUGCUCAGUACAGAAUGAACCGAUACCGCGAGGUGGAGGAAAUCCAUAAAANUGAGCCCAAUUCGGAUUGGAGGNUGCAACUCGCCUCCAUGAANCCGGAAUCGCUAGUAAUGGNGUAUCAGCUNCGACGCNGUGAAUACGUUCCCGGGCCUUGUNCACACCNCCCGUCACACCAUGGAAGUCACUUGUACCNGAAGUAGGUGCGCUAACNGCAAGGAGGCAGCCUCCUAAGGUAUGAGUGGUAACUGGGAUGAAGUCGUAACAAGGUAAC
This 1554-nucleotide ribosomal RNA is filed under the name uncultured Spartobacteria bacterium. RNAcentral describes it as "bacterial SSU rRNA". It matches the Rfam family "Bacterial small subunit ribosomal RNA". The record is from RNAcentral. Lineage: Bacteria; Pseudomonadati; Verrucomicrobiota; Spartobacteria.